This 345-nucleotide unclassified non-coding RNA is filed under the name soil metagenome. RNAcentral describes it as "partial contains 5.8S ribosomal RNA, internal transcribed spacer 2, and large subunit ribosomal RNA". The stretch from base 1 to 120 matches the Rfam family "5.8S ribosomal RNA", at positions 35 to 154 of the family's 154-position model. The record is from RNAcentral.
GAUGAAGAACGUAGCGAAAUGCGAUACGUAAUGUGAAUUGCAGAAUUCAGUGAAUCAUCGAGUCUUUGAACGCACAUUGCGCCCCCUGGUAUUCCGGGGGGCAUGCCUGUCCGAGCGUCAUUGCUGCCCUCAAGCACGGCUUGUGUGUUGGGCCUCCGUCCUCCUCCCGGGGGGCGGGCCCGAAAGGCAGCGGCGGCACCGCGUCCGGUCCUCGAGCGUAUGGGGCUUCGUCACCCGCUCCGUAGGCCCGGCCGGCGCCCGCCGGCGACCCCCCUCAAUCUUUUCAGGUUGACCUCGGAUCAGGUAGGGAUACCCGCUGAACUUAAGCAUAUCAAAAGCGGAGGA